UACAUGGGGUGCAAACGUUGCUCGGAAUUAUUGGGCGUAAAGCGCACGUAGGCGGUUCGUUAAGUCGGAUGUGAAAGCCCUCGGCUCAACUGAGGAAGUGCACCCGAAACUGGCGAGCUUGAGUACGAAAGAGGAUCGCGGAAUUCCCGGUGUAGAGGUGAAAUUCGUAGAUAUCGGGAGGAACACCGGGUGCGAAGGCGGCGAUCUGGGUCGAUACUGACGCUGAGGUGCGAAAGCGUGGGGAGCAAACAGG
Molecule: ribosomal RNA, 253 nt
Filed under: uncultured bacterium
Lineage: Bacteria
Description: partial 16S ribosomal RNA
Rfam family: Bacterial small subunit ribosomal RNA
Source: RNAcentral